Molecule: ribosomal RNA, 468 nt
Filed under: uncultured Geobacillus sp.
Lineage: Bacteria; Bacillati; Bacillota; Bacilli; Caryophanales; Anoxybacillaceae
Description: bacterial SSU rRNA
Rfam family: Bacterial small subunit ribosomal RNA
Source: RNAcentral
GUUGACGGGGCCGCACAAGCGGUGGAGCAUGUGGUUAAUUCGAAGCAACGCGAAGAACCUUACCAGGUCUUGACAUCCCUGACAACCAAGAGAUUGGGCGUUCCCCUCGGGGGACAGGGUGACAGGUGGUGCAUGGUUGUCGUCAGCUCGUGUCGUGAGAUGUUGGGUUAAGUCCCGCAACGAGCGCAACCCUCGCCUCUAGUUGCCAGCAUUCGGUUGGGCACUCUAGAGGGACUGCCGGCGACAAGUCGGAGGAAGGUGGGGAUGACGUCAAAUCAUCAUGCCCCUUAUGACCUGGGCUACACACGUGCUACAAUGGGCGGUACAAAGGGCUGCGAACCCGCGAGGGGGAGCGAAUCCCAAAAAGCCGCUCUCAGUUCGGAUUGCAGGCUGCAACUCGCCUGCAUGAAGCCGGAAUCGCUAGUAAUCGCGGAUCAGCAUGCCGCGGUGAAUACGUUCCCGGGCCUU